GCAUUUGGAUUUUGGAGGCAAUCACUGAAGAGCCUACGGGUGCUGCCAGCUGGUAGCUGCUAGGGGAUUUCACCAGGGAUAAUAUCCUUGGUAUUGCAUUUGUCAGCGAGGGUUGGUGCCUUAUUCAGCUAUGCUUCUGGUACUCGGUAAGCAUGCAGAGUGGACACAUUUUAUUCCCUCUGAUGUAGGAGUAGAACAGUUUCCCCUGCUUUUCCUACAACAGAUUUCACUCUUGUAACUCAAAAUCGAUGCUAUAGGAAUUGUUCCUAGCUAAAGGAUCCAUCCAUACAUUGGGAGGAGAACCAAGAUCGAUUCUAAUUCUGCCCA
RNAcentral lists this long non-coding RNA (327 nucleotides) under Triticum aestivum (bread wheat). RNAcentral describes it as "long non-coding RNA (TAES_LNC011032)". Lineage: Eukaryota; Viridiplantae; Streptophyta; Magnoliopsida; Poales; Poaceae. The record is from RNAcentral.